Molecule: long non-coding RNA, 1837 nt
Organism: Rhineura floridana
Lineage: Eukaryota; Metazoa; Chordata; Lepidosauria; Squamata; Rhineuridae
Exons: 9
Source: RefSeq, a predicted model, not a curated record
AUGCUGCAACCUGCUCCACAACUCUUCAAUUCCCAGCAUCGUUCUAAGAACACAGGACCCUUUUCUCCGGCCAAAGGAGAGUCCACGUUCUUUUUAUUUUAGUCUGAACGAGGGAAUGCGGGAAGAUCUCCAGAAUUCGUCCAAACAGGCCGGGUGAGAUAAAUUGUUGCUCAAUAAAAGCCACACGCGAAACACCAAGUCAGCCAAUCCUACUAGAGGGAGCCCCAGCUGACAAAGCAUCAAGGCCCCAGCUGACAAAGAGUCAAGGCAAGUUAAGCAGCAGAGCGAAAAGAGGCGAUACCAACAACUCCCCCGAGGGUAGCAGGAGCUAUCAAGAAAUUCCUUCCUGACCAUCAGAGAGGGAGACUCCCCUUCAGCCUUGGCUGAUUCUCUUGCUUGAGCCGCGGGGGGUGGUCCCGCAAGUCACUACGCACCGCUUGCUGAAGCUACACCUAGGCUUGGAGCGCGCACAGCCAUAGCGAGAGGAGGCUAGUGAAGGCACCGCUGGGGUACUUUAUAAGCACCCAAAAGUGCAGGGGAAAGGGGAGCUGCCUUGGCGUCUCAUCCCAGCAUCUGCUCCACUCAUUCAGCUCACGAAGAAUGAUAAUAUUAAACGGGUGAAAGAAAUUUGCUUUUCUCUGCUGAGAUCCCACACAGCUUAUGAGAGGCACAGAGCCAGAACCCAGCUUCCUAUCUCUCCCCAAAAUCAUCAACGCAACCUGCUUUUCUCUGUCAAUUCCAGUCCUAUACCUCAGUAGCAUGAACCAAGUGACAGGCUCAGGAGGAUAGGGAGAGCACCCAGAACAGGAGAAGACCAUACAACAUUUCUCCCAGAAGAGAAGCAACCAAAACAAGGGGACCUCCUUCUGAACCAAGGAUUGGAACUUGAUUCUGAGUAAACAUGCAUAGGAUUACACUACAACAGACGAUAACAGCAGGAUCGUGAUAAUGUGAUUUUCCAGUCCUGAAUCAACAGAGCAAUGUUGCCCCAGCAAGUCUUACCACUGUCUCUCAAACUGAAACCAAGUAUACUAAGAAAGCACAAGCACUUCCUAUGCUAAAAUGGAUAUCACCCUCCUGGAUCAGUGUCGGGGAUCAACCAGUUUUGGCUCCUGUUUGUUGUCUUCACCACCUACUUUGCCCAUCCGCCUGCCCCUAGUGGGCACAGAGGACUGGAAGUGGGUAGGAACAUGUCAACAGAGAAAAGGCCUGUGAACAUCACCACUUACGGACAACACAAAGGGAUGUCUAUAGAAACAGCUGGCACCUGGGAGAAUCUUUCUGAAACUCACCUCACUUUUCACUGGCUGAGGCCUCUUGCCUAGUUUCACCUCCAAGAAGUGUAGUGGCGAAAUCAUGGCCCCAAUGUUGCGAAUGUCAGCAUACUUCAGCUCUUCCGCUGUCAAGGUGGUACCAGGCAACCCUGUCAAGGGGCCGAGGCCAGGCAGAGCACCAGCUGUCAGGGAUGGGUCUGGAAUCUGCCCAGGCAUCAUAGCAGGAUAUACAGUUCCACAGUCUACAGAAGAGAAAGAGAAACCAUCAGUCACUACGGGAAGCUGAGCAGCGAUAAUCCAAAAAGGCAAAGCAAGCACAGUUCAUUUUGAAGCCAAGGAGAGAGAGUAUAAACAUAGAUAAGGAACAUCAUGAUUUGUUUGUCUCUGCUGAACCAACUUGUCAAAGGAAAAGCAAGGUAUACCAGGUUAGAAACUUUACCCCCAAUGAGACAGAGAGACAUCUUCCUAGAAUGUCAGCCAGAGACUUUGGAGGAUGGAGACCUAGAUGAACAUGAAGAAGUCCCACUUGCACUGUGAAAUAGCUACAAAACAUGACACCAAAG